GAUGAACGCUAGCGGCAGGCCUAAUACAUGCAAGUCGGACGGGAUUGAGAAGCUUGCUUUUCAUGAGAGUGGCGCACGGGUGCGUAACACGUAUGUAACCUACCUUAAUCAGGGGGAUAGCCUCUCGAAAGAGAGAUUAACACCGCAUAAAAUCAAUUUAUGGCAUCAUAGAAUGAUCAAAUAUUUAUAGGAUUAAGAUGGGCAUGCGGAACAUUAGCUAGUUGGUAAGGUAACGGCUUACCAAGGCUACGAUGUUUAGGGGAUCUGAGAGGAUGACCCCCCACACUGGUACUGAGACACGGACCAGACUCCUACGGGAGGCAGCAGUAAGGAAUAUUGGUCAAUGGGCGCAAGCCUGAACCAGCCAUGCCGCGUGCAGGAAGACGGCCCUACGGGUUGUAAACUGCUUUUGUACCGGAAUAAACCUUUGUAUGUAUACGAAGCUGAAUGUACGGUAAGAAUAAGGAUCGGCUAACUCCGUGCCAGCCGCCGCGGUAA
This 498-nucleotide ribosomal RNA is filed under the name uncultured bacterium. Its description in RNAcentral is "partial 16S ribosomal RNA". It matches the Rfam family "Bacterial small subunit ribosomal RNA", at positions 28 to 523 of the family's 1533-position model. The record is from RNAcentral.